Molecule: ribosomal RNA, 469 nt
Filed under: uncultured bacterium
Lineage: Bacteria
Description: bacterial SSU rRNA
Rfam family: Bacterial small subunit ribosomal RNA
Source: RNAcentral
ACUCCUACGGGAGGCAGCAGUGAGGAAUAUUGGACAAUGGGCGCAAGCCUGAUCCAGCCAUGCCGCGUGCAGGAUGACGGUCCUAUGGAUUGUAAACUGCUUUUAUACAGGAAGAAACACCUCUACGUGUAGAGACUUGACGGUACUGUAAGAAUAAGGAUCGGCUAACUCCGUGCCAGCAGCCGCGGUAAUACGGAGGAUCCAAGCGUUAUCCGGAAUCAUUGGGUUUAAAGGGUCCGUAGGCGGUUUAGUAAGUCAGUGGUGAAAGCCCAUCGCUCAACGGUGGAACGGCCAUUGAUACUGCUAGACUUGAAUUAUUAGGAAGUAACUAGAAUAUGUAGUGUAGCGGUGAAAUGCUUAGAGAUUACAUGGAAUACCAAUUGCGAAGGCAGGUUACUACUAAUUGAUUGACGCUGAUGGACGAAAGCGUGGGUAGCGAACAGGAUUAGAUACCCUGGUAGCGUCGACU